RNAcentral lists this ribosomal RNA (536 nucleotides) under Acropoma japonicum. RNAcentral describes it as "partial large subunit ribosomal RNA". It matches the Rfam family "Bacterial large subunit ribosomal RNA", at positions 1852 to 2586 of the family's 2925-position model. The record is from RNAcentral. Lineage: Eukaryota; Metazoa; Chordata; Actinopteri; Acropomatiformes; Acropomatidae.
GUCCAGCCAUGCCCUGUGACUAUAUGUUUAACGGCCGCGGUAUUUUGACCGUGCAAAGGUAGCGCAAUCACUUGUCUUUUAAAUGAAGACCCGUAUGAAUGGCACCACGAGGGCUUGACUGUCUCCUUUUUCAAGUCAAUGAAAUUGAUCUCCCCGUGCAGAAGCGGGGAUAUGCACAUAAGACGAGAAGACCCUAUGGAGCUUAAGACAUAAGAUAGCCCGCGUUAAGCCCCCUAAUUAAUGGAAGAAACUAAGCAACCCCUAUCCUGCUGUCUUUGGUUGGGGCGACCGCGGGGAACCAUAAAACCCCCAUGUGGACUAAGUACAUCCUCUCACAGCUAAGAGCUCCCGCUCUAGAAAACAGAAAAUCUGACCAAUAAUGAUCCGGCAAUGCCGAUCAACGGACCGAGUUACCCUAGGGAUAACAGCGCAAUCCCCUUUUAGAGUCCAUAUCGACNAGGGGGUUUACGANCCUCGAUGUUGGAUCAGGACAUCCUAAUGGUGCAGCCGCUAUUAAGGGGUUCGUUUGUUCAACG